CCUACGGGUGGCAGCGACGCCGCGUGAGUGAAGAAGUAUUUCGGUAUGUAAAGCUCUAUCAGCAGGGAAGAAAAUGACGGUACCUGACUAAGAAGCCCCGGCUAACUACGUGCCAGCAGCCGCGGUAAUACGGAGGAUGCGAGCGUUAUCCGGAUUUAUUGGGUUUAAGGGGUGCGCAGGCGGAAGAUCAAGUCAGCGGUAAAAUUGAGAGGCUCAACCUCUUCGAGCCAUUGAAACUGGUUUUCUUGAGUGAGCGAGAAGUAUGCGGAAUGCGUGGUGUAGCGGUGAAAUGCAUAGAUAUCACGCAGAACUCCGAUUGCGAAGGCAGCAUACCGGAGCUCAACUGACGCUCAUGCACGAAAGUGUGGGUAUCGAACAGGAUUAGAUACCCGGGUAGUC
Molecule: ribosomal RNA, 399 nt
Filed under: uncultured bacterium
Lineage: Bacteria
Description: partial 16S ribosomal RNA
Rfam family: Bacterial small subunit ribosomal RNA
Source: RNAcentral